AUUGAACGCUGGCGGCAUGCUUUACACAUGCAAGUCGAACGGUAACAGGCCUUCGGGUGCUGACGAGUGGCGAACGGGUGAGUAAUGCAUCGGAACGUGCCCAGAGGUGGGGGAUAACGCAGCGAAAGCUGUGCUAAUACCUCAUGUGAUCUGAGGAUGAAAGCGGGGGACCAGGCAGCAAUGUUUGGCCUCGCGCCUUUGGAGCGGCCGAUGUCAGAUUAGGUAGUUGGUGAGGUAAAGGCCUACCAAGCCGACGAUCUGUAGCUGGUCUGAGAGGACGACCAGCCACACUGGAACUGAGACACGGCCCAGACUCCUACGGGAGGCAGCAGUGGGGAAUUUUGGACAAUGGGCGCAAGCCUGAUCCAGCAAUGCCGCGUGCGGGAAGAAGGCCUUCGGGUUGUAAAACGCUUUUGUACGGAACGAAAAGGCUCUGGCUAAUACCUGGGGCUGAUGACGGUACCGUAAGAAUAAGCACCGGCUAACUACGUG
RNAcentral lists this ribosomal RNA (492 nucleotides) under uncultured bacterium. Its description in RNAcentral is "partial 16S ribosomal RNA". It matches the Rfam family "Bacterial small subunit ribosomal RNA", at positions 30 to 507 of the family's 1533-position model. The record is from RNAcentral.